CAGUAGCCGCGGUAAUACGGAGGGUGCGAGCGUUAAUCGGAAUAACUGGGCGUAAAGGGCACGCAGGCGGUGACUUAAGUGAGGUGUGAAAGCCCCGGGCUUAACCUGGGAAUUGCAUUUCAUACUGGGUCGCUAGAGUACUUUAGGGAGGGGUAGAAUUCCACGUGUAGCGGUGAAAUGCGUAGAGAUGUGGAGGAAUACCGAAGGCGAAGGCAGCCCCUUGGGAAUGUACUGACGCUCAUGUGCGAAAGCGUGGGGAGCAAACAGGAUUAGAGACCCCAGUAGUCCCUGUCUCUUAUAC
Molecule: ribosomal RNA, 301 nt
Filed under: uncultured bacterium
Lineage: Bacteria
Description: partial 16S ribosomal RNA
Rfam family: Bacterial small subunit ribosomal RNA
Source: RNAcentral